Equus quagga is the source of this 1081-nucleotide long non-coding RNA. RefSeq lists it as uncharacterized. The transcript is spliced from 3 exons. The record is from RefSeq and is a predicted model, not a curated record. NCBI's taxonomy places the organism in Eukaryota, Metazoa, Chordata, Mammalia, Perissodactyla, Equidae.
GUCUGCUCUCUUUGGAGUUGAAAGGGAACCAGAAAAGAAGGGGUUCAGGGGAUCUUGUUGGAGCAGGAAAGGCUAGAUUUAGGUUCCAAGAAGGUGCCUAUGGGGGGCAGUGGACAUUUGUAGCUCUCCCAGGGGCUGGUUGGUGGCAGAAAUCUGUUAAUGAUGACCUAGCAAAAGAGGAAAUUAGGUCAAGGGUCUCACAGAACCUGAGGGUGCCAGGAGGAUGAGAACGGGCACCAGGAACCUUGUGGGAACAAAGUUGGGCUGGGUCACUGCCUCAGUCCUCCUCACCCGGGCUCUCUGGCCCCCUGUCUUUGCUUUACGUCUGCAGGCCUGGCCUCCCAGUUUGCUCUUGGCCUCAAAUGAUCUUUCCCCACGUGGAAACCACAGACCCUAAGACUUGUGACCUUCCAGAUAUAACACACAAAGCCGGCUCACCAGGGACUCUGUGACUGAGCUCCAUAUUCUAGGGAGAGAGAGUGAGCAGCCCAGCCUGGCCAGGGAUUCGUCCCCUGUCCAGUGGGCAGUUCCACAAGAGCAAUGUGGGGGCCCUCCAUUUCUGCAGAGUUGGGGUGAGAGGCAAUUCUUGCAUUCCAGAGAGGUAAACUACAGAAACAAGGGAGCUACGCGGCCAGGAGGUUGGGCAGAACCAGGAGUGGAGGAUGGGGGCUGCAGAAACCUCCUGAAGCUGGGCUCCAGAUUCUCCAUGUGAGGGUUCACGUGGAGCAGUUGGAGCAGUGGUCCUCAACCAUGGCUGCAUGUUGGAAUCACUUGGGAGAUGUAAAACCUACUGAUGUUUGGGUCCCACCCUAGAGAUGCUGAUAAACCCAGGGGAAGUUACCUGACAUAUCUGUGAGGACACUCAAGCAGCCUUAUGGAGAGGCCAUGUGGCGAAGGUCUGAGGCCUCCUGUCAACAGCUUGGUGAGGGCGCCAUCUUGGAAACAGAUCCUCCAGCUCCAGGCAAGCCCUCAGAUGACUGUAGUCCUGACUGACAUCUUGAUUGCAAACUCAUGGGAAUCCCUGAGCCAGAACCAUCCAACUCAGUCACGCCUUAACUCCUGAUCCACAGAACUGGCGAGA